Cercocebus atys (sooty mangabey) is the source of this 94-nucleotide unclassified non-coding RNA. It matches the Rfam family "Y RNA". Rfam says of the family: Y RNAs are components of the Ro ribonucleoprotein particle (Ro RNP), in association with Ro60 and La proteins. The Y RNAs and Ro60 and La proteins are well conserved, but the function of the Ro RNP is not known. In humans the RNA component can be one of four small RNAs -- hY1, hY3, hY4 and hY5. The record is from Ensembl. NCBI's taxonomy places the organism in Eukaryota, Metazoa, Chordata, Mammalia, Primates, Cercopithecidae.
GGCUGGUCCGGGUGCGGUGGUGUUUGCAACUAGUUGAUGACAGCCAGAGAUUUGUUUCUUCUCCACUCCCGCUGUGUCACUUGACCAGCUUUAA